CCUACGGGUGGCAGCAGUCGAGAAUCAUUCACAAUGGGGGAAACCCUGAUGCUGCGACGCCGCGUGGGGGAAUGAAGGUCUUCGGAUUGUAAACCCCUGUCAUGUGGGAGAAAAUUACAAAGAUAGUACCACAAGCGGAAGAGACGGCUAUCUCUGUGCCAGCAGACGCGGUAAUAGAGAGGUCUCAAGCGUUGUUCGGAAUCACUGGGCGUAAAGCGUGCGUAGGAGGUUAAGUAAGUCGGGUGUGAAAGGCGCGGGCGCAACCCGCGGAUGGCAUCUGAUACUGCGAGACUAGAGUAAAGGAGGGGGAAGCGGAAGUCUCAGUGUAGCAGUGAAAUGCGUAGA
RNAcentral lists this ribosomal RNA (345 nucleotides) under uncultured bacterium. Its description in RNAcentral is "partial 16S ribosomal RNA". It matches the Rfam family "Bacterial small subunit ribosomal RNA", at positions 338 to 694 of the family's 1533-position model. The record is from RNAcentral.